UACGUAGGCAGCAAGCGUUGUUUCGGAGUUACUGGGCGUAAAGGGUGCGUAGGCGGCUUUUAAGUUUGGUGUGAAAUCUCCCGGCUCAACUGGGAGGGUGCGCCGAAUACUGAGAGGCUAGAGUGUGGGAGAGGAAAGUGGAAUUCCUGGUGUAGCGGUGAAAUGCGUAGAUAUCAGGAGGAACACCGGUGGUGUAAACGGCUUUCUGGACCAUAACUGACGUGAUGCACGAAAAGCGUGGGGUAGCAAACAGG
Molecule: ribosomal RNA, 254 nt
Filed under: uncultured bacterium
Lineage: Bacteria
Description: partial 16S ribosomal RNA
Rfam family: Bacterial small subunit ribosomal RNA
Source: RNAcentral